GACGUAGGGCGCGAGCGUUGUCCGGAUUUAUUGGGCGUAAAGAGCUCGUAGGCGGCUUGUCGCGUCGAAUGUGAAAACCCACGGCUCAACUGUGGGCUUGCAUUCGAUACGGGCCAGGCUAGAGUUCGGUAGGGGAGACUGGAAUUCCUGGUGUAGCGGUGAAUGCGCAGAUAUCAGGAGGAACACCGGUGGCGAAGGCGGGCCUCUGGGGCCGAUACUGACGCUGAGGAGCGAAAGCGUGGGGAGCGAACAGG
This 254-nucleotide ribosomal RNA is filed under the name uncultured bacterium. Its description in RNAcentral is "partial 16S ribosomal RNA". It matches the Rfam family "Bacterial small subunit ribosomal RNA", at positions 524 to 776 of the family's 1533-position model. The record is from RNAcentral.